Molecule: ribosomal RNA, 531 nt
Filed under: Ploiaria sp.
Lineage: Eukaryota; Metazoa; Arthropoda; Insecta; Hemiptera; Reduviidae
Description: partial large subunit ribosomal RNA
Rfam family: Eukaryotic large subunit ribosomal RNA
Source: RNAcentral
AAAACCCAAAGGCGCAAUAAAAGUAAAAGGGUGGAAUUUUUGUGCACUUGUGUACAAUUUCCCCUGAGGGAAGAUGGAAAGAUUGUUUUUAACAGUAAUAGUUACGGCUAUUUAUUGUUAUUAAUUAAGAUUUCCCGCAUCCCCUGGGCGCUUGUUUCUUGCUUUGCAAGUCGAUGCGCACCUAGAGCGUACACGCUGAUACCCGAAAGAUGGUGAACUAUGCCUGGCCAGGACGAAGCCAGGGGAAACCCUGGUGGAGGUCCGCAGCGAUUCUGACGUGCAAAUCGAUCGUCGGAGCUGGGUAUAGGGGCGAAAGACCAAUCGAACCAUCUAGUAGCUGGUUCCCUCUGAAGUUUCCCUCAGGAUAGCUUGCACUCGGUUGAGACGAGUCUCAUCCGGUAGAGCGAAUGAUUAGAGGCAUUGGGGUCGAAACGACCUCAACCUAUUCUCAAACUCCAAAUAGAUGAGAUCCCCGGCUUUCUUAAAAUUGAAGCCGUGGGAUUUUGAUCAGAGUGCCAAGUGGGCCAAUUU